UGGGGAAUUUUGGACAAUGGGCGCAAGCCUGAUCCAGCCAUGCCGCGUGCGGGAAGAAGGCCUUCGGGUUGUAAACCGCUUUUGUCAGGGAAGAAAUCUUCUGAGUUAAUACCUCGGGAGGAUGACGGUACCUGAAGAAUAAGCACCGGCUAACUACGUGCCAGCAGCCGCGGUAAUACGUAGGGUGCAAGCGUUAAUCGGAAUUACUGGGCGUAAAGCGUGCGCAGGCGGUUUUGUAAGACAGAGGUGAAAUCCCCGGGCUCAACCUGGGAACUGCCUUUGUGACUGCAAGGCUUGAGUGCAGCAGAGGGGGGAUGGAAUUCCGCGUGUAGCAGUGAAAUGCGUAGAUAUGCGGAGGAACACCGAUGGCGAAGGCAAUCCCCUGGGCCUGCACUGACGCUCAUGCACGAAAGCGUGGGGAGCAAACAGGAUUAGAUACCCUGGUAGUCCACGCCCUAAACGAUGUCAACUGGUUGUUGGGAAGGUUCCUUCUCAGUAACGUAGCUAACGUGUGAAGUUGACCGCCUGGGGAGUACGGCCGCAAGGUUG
This 549-nucleotide ribosomal RNA is filed under the name uncultured bacterium. Its description in RNAcentral is "partial 16S ribosomal RNA". It matches the Rfam family "Bacterial small subunit ribosomal RNA", at positions 355 to 896 of the family's 1533-position model. The record is from RNAcentral.